GCUCCCGUAGUGUAGUCCGGUCAAUCAUAUUGGCCUCUCGAGCCAAUGACUCGGGUUCAAAUCCCGACGGGAGCA
Molecule: transfer RNA, 75 nt
Filed under: Methanomassiliicoccales archaeon
Lineage: Archaea; Methanobacteriati; Thermoplasmatota; Thermoplasmata; Methanomassiliicoccales
Also listed under: 1 other name
Description: tRNA-Glu
Rfam family: tRNA
About the family: Transfer RNA (tRNA) molecules are approximately 80 nucleotides in length.
Source: RNAcentral